Molecule: small RNA, 84 nt
Filed under: Flavobacterium gillisiae
Lineage: Bacteria; Pseudomonadati; Bacteroidota; Flavobacteriia; Flavobacteriales; Flavobacteriaceae
Description: Flavo-1 RNA
Rfam family: Flavo-1 RNA
Source: RNAcentral
CUCUAGCCCUGAUGGAAGUGAAAAUCCUUUUUAUCCUGAAUUUAUUUCAGGACAAAAAGAUUGUAGCGCACAGCAGGACAAUUG